Molecule: ribosomal RNA, 496 nt
Filed under: bacterium A3S_VP5_A6
Lineage: Bacteria
Description: bacterial SSU rRNA
Rfam family: Bacterial small subunit ribosomal RNA
Source: RNAcentral
UUAAACGGGAGGCUAAUUGGAGGGACCCUCCGGGAUGGUCGAAACUCUGAACGAACAACGCCCCCGGGACGGAGAAGGGUUUCGGAACCCAAAACCCCGGUUGCCGGGAAGAACGCCUGGGAAAAGUACCGGGCCCCAGGGGAACGGACCUGGGAAAAAACCCCCCGAUAAAUUCCUGGCCACCGCCGGGGUAAUUCCGAAGGGGCAAACCUUGGCCGAACUUUUGGGCGUAAAACGGGCCCCAGCCGUUGAUUAAAUCUGGGGUUUAACGGCGGGGCUCCACCACGCGUCCGACUGGAAACUGGUUUACCUGAAGGCCGAAAAAGAAAACGGAAAUCCACCUGGAACCGCGAAAUGCCGCGAGGAUUUGCAGAACCACCAGUGGCGAAAGCGACCUUCCGGGCUGAAACUUACCCUGAAGCUCAGAACCCGGGGGAGCCAACCGGGAUAGAAACCCUGGUAGAUCCCCCCGGUAAACCACGCAUGCCAAGGGUUU